GACGAACCACACGAACGUUAUUCGGAAUUACUGGGCUUAAAGGGUGCGUAGGCGGCGCAGAAAGUUGGGUGUGAAAUCCCUCGGCUCAACCGAGGAACUGCGCCCAAAACUACUGUGCUUGAGGAAGAUAGAGGUAAGCGGAACUUACGGUGGAGCGGUGAAAUGCGUUGAUAUCGUAAGGAACACCUGUGGCGAAAGCGGCUUACUGGGUCUUUUCUGACGCUGAUGCACGAAAGCUAGGGGAGCAAACGGG
Molecule: ribosomal RNA, 253 nt
Filed under: uncultured bacterium
Lineage: Bacteria
Description: partial 16S ribosomal RNA
Rfam family: Bacterial small subunit ribosomal RNA
Source: RNAcentral